RNAcentral lists this ribosomal RNA (466 nucleotides) under uncultured Alphaproteobacteria bacterium. Its description in RNAcentral is "partial 16S ribosomal RNA". Lineage: Bacteria; Pseudomonadati; Pseudomonadota; Alphaproteobacteria. The record is from RNAcentral.
UUACCGCGGCUGCUGGCACGGAGUUAGCCGGGACUUCUUUACUGGGUACAGUCAUUAUCUUCCCCAGCGAAAGAGCUUUACGAUCCUAUGACCUUCAUCACUCACGCGGCAUGGCUAGAUCAGGCUUGCGCCCAUUGUCUAAGAUUCCCCACUGCUGCCUCCCGUAGGAGUCUGGGCCGUGUCUCAGUCCCAGUGUUGCUGAUCAUCCUCUCAAAUCAACUAUAGAUCGUAGACUUGGUAGGCCAUUACCCCACCAACUAUCUAAUCUACCGCGGGCCGAUCCUUCUCCGAUAAAUCUUUCCCCCGAAGGGCGUAUAAGGCAUUAGUCAUCGUUUCCAAUGGUUAUUCCUUAGAAAAGGGUACGUUCCCACGUGUUACUAACCCGUCCGCCGCUCACCCGAAGGCGCGCUCGACUUGCAUGUGUUAGGCCUGCCGCCAGCGUUCGUUCUGAGCCAUGAUCAAACUC